This 252-nucleotide ribosomal RNA is filed under the name uncultured prokaryote. RNAcentral's name for it is "partial 16S rRNA". It matches the Rfam family "Archaeal small subunit ribosomal RNA", at positions 475 to 726 of the family's 1478-position model. The record is from RNAcentral.
ACCGGCGGCUCGAGUGGUGGCCACUAUUACUGGGCUUAAAGCGUUCGUAGCUGGCUUGUUAAGUCUCUGGGGAAAUCUUCCGGCUCAACCGGAAGGCGUCUCAGGGAUACUGGCAGGCUAGGGACCGGGAGAGGUGAGAGGUACUCCAGGGGUAGGAGUGAAAUGCUGUGCUACUAGGGGGAGCACCUGUGGCGAAGGCGGCACCCUGGAACGGCUCCGACGGUGGGGAGCGAAAGCUGGGGUAGCAAGCAG